RNAcentral lists this ribosomal RNA (2932 nucleotides) under Escherichia coli. RNAcentral's name for it is "23S ribosomal RNA". It matches the Rfam family "Bacterial large subunit ribosomal RNA". The record is from RNAcentral. Lineage: Bacteria; Pseudomonadati; Pseudomonadota; Gammaproteobacteria; Enterobacterales; Enterobacteriaceae.
GGGUUGUGAGGUUAAGCGACUAAGCGUACACGGUGGAUGCCCUGGCAGUCAGAGGCGAUGAAGGACGUGCUAAUCUGCGAUAAGCGUCGGUAAGGUGAUAUGAACCGUUAUAACCGGCGAUUUCCGAAUGGGGAAACCCAGUGUGUUUCGACACACUAUCAUUAACUGAAUCCAUAGGUUAAUGAGGCGAACCGGGGGAACUGAAACAUCUAAGUACCCCGAGGAAAAGAAAUCAACCGAGAUUCCCCCAGUAGCGGCGAGCGAACGGGGAGCAGCCCAGAGCCUGAAUCAGUGUGUGUGUUAGUGGAAGCGUCUGGAAAGGCGCGCGAUACAGGGUGACAGCCCCGUACACAAAAAUGCACAUGCUGUGAGCUCGAUGAGUAGGGCGGGACACGUGGUAUCCUGUCUGAAUAUGGGGGGACCAUCCUCCAAGGCUAAAUACUCCUGACUGACCGAUAGUGAACCAGUACCGUGAGGGAAAGGCGAAAAGAACCCCGGCGAGGGGAGUGAAAAAGAACCUGAAACCGUGUACGUACAAGCAGUGGGAGCACGCUUCGGCGUGUGACUGCGUACCUUUUGUAUAAUGGGUCAGCGACUUAUAUUCUGUAGCAAGGUUAACCGAAUAGGGGAGCCGAAGGGAAACCGAGUCUUAACUGGGCGUUAAGUUGCAGGGUAUAGACCCGAAACCCGGUGAUCUAGCCAUGGGCAGGUUGAAGGUUGGGUAACACUAACUGGAGGACCGAACCGACUAAUGUUGAAAAAUUAGCGGAUGACUUGUGGCUGGGGGUGAAAGGCCAAUCAAACCGGGAGAUAGCUGGUUCUCCCCGAAAGCUAUUUAGGUAGCGCCUCGUGAAUUCAUCUCCGGGGGUAGAGCACUGUUUCGGCAAGGGGGUCAUCCCGACUUACCAACCCGAUGCAAACUGCGAAUACCGGAGAAUGUUAUCACGGGAGACACACGGCGGGUGCUAACGUCCGUCGUGAAGAGGGAAACAACCCAGACCGCCAGCUAAGGUCCCAAAGUCAUGGUUAAGUGGGAAACGAUGUGGGAAGGCCCAGACAGCCAGGAUGUUGGCUUAGAAGCAGCCAUCAUUUAAAGAAAGCGUAAUAGCUCACUGGUCGAGUCGGCCUGCGCGGAAGAUGUAACGGGGCUAAACCAUGCACCGAAGCUGCGGCAGCGACGCUUAUGCGUUGUUGGGUAGGGGAGCGUUCUGUAAGCCUGUGAAGGUGUACUGUGAGGUAUGCUGGAGGUAUCAGAAGUGCGAAUGCUGACAUAAGUAACGAUAAAGCGGGUGAAAAGCCCGCUCGCCGGAAGACCAAGGGUUCCUGUCCAACGUUAAUCGGGGCAGGGUGAGUCGACCCCUAAGGCGAGGCCGAAAGGCGUAGUCGAUGGGAAACAGGUUAAUAUUCCUGUACUUGGUGUUACUGCGAAGGGGGGACGGAGAAGGCUAUGUUGGCCGGGCGACGGUUGUCCCGGUUUAAGCGUGUAGGCUGGUUUUCCAGGCAAAUCCGGAAAAUCAAGGCUGAGGCGUGAUGACGAGGCACUACGGUGCUGAAGCAACAAAUGCCCUGCUUCCAGGAAAAGCCUCUAAGCAUCAGGUAACAUCAAAUCGUACCCCAAACCGACACAGGUGGUCAGGUAGAGAAUACCAAGGCGCUUGAGAGAACUCGGGUGAAGGAACUAGGCAAAAUGGUGCCGUAACUUCGGGAGAAGGCACGCUGAUAUGUAGGUGAAGUCCCUCGCGGAUGGAGCUGAAAUCAGUCGAAGAUACCAGCUGGCUGCAACUGUUUAUUAAAAACACAGCACUGUGCAAACACGAAAGUGGACGUAUACGGUGUGACGCCUGCCCGGUGCCGGAAGGUUAAUUGAUGGGGUUAGCGGUAACGCGAAGCUCUUGAUCGAAGCCCCGGUAAACGGCGGCCGUAACUAUAACGGUCCUAAGGUAGCGAAAUUCCUUGUCGGGUAAGUUCCGACCUGCACGAAUGGCGUAAUGAUGGCCAGGCUGUCUCCACCCGAGACUCAGUGAAAUUGAACUCGCUGUGAAGAUGCAGUGUACCCGCGGCAAGACGGAAAGACCCCGUGAACCUUUACUAUAGCUUGACACUGAACAUUGAGCCUUGAUGUGUAGGAUAGGUGGGAGGCUUAGAAGUGUGGACGCCAGUCUGCAUGGAGCCGACCUUGAAAUACCACCCUUUAAUGUUUGAUGUUCUAACGUUGACCCGUAAUCCGGGUUGCGGACAGUGUCUGGUGGGUAGUUUGACUGGGGCGGUCUCCUCCUAAAGAGUAACGGAGGAGCACGAAGGUUGGCUAAUCCUGGUCGGACAUCAGGAGGUUAGUGCAAUGGCAUAAGCCAGCUUGACUGCGAGCGUGACGGCGCGAGCAGGUGCGAAAGCAGGUCAUAGUGAUCCGGUGGUUCUGAAUGGAAGGGCCAUCGCUCAACGGAUAAAAGGUACUCCGGGGAUAACAGGCUGAUACCGCCCAAGAGUUCAUAUCGACGGCGGUGUUUGGCACCUCGAUGUCGGCUCAUCACAUCCUGGGGCUGAAGUAGGUCCCAAGGGUAUGGCUGUUCGCCAUUUAAAGUGGUACGCGAGCUGGGUUUAGAACGUCGUGAGACAGUUCGGUCCCUAUCUGCCGUGGGCGCUGGAGAACUGAGGGGGGCUGCUCCUAGUACGAGAGGACCGGAGUGGACGCAUCACUGGUGUUCGGGUUGUCAUGCCAAUGGCACUGCCCGGUAGCUAAAUGCGGAAGAGAUAAGUGCUGAAAGCAUCUAAGCACGAAACUUGCCCCGAGAUGAGUUCUCCCUGACUCCUUGAGAGUCCUGAAGGAACGUUGAAGACGACGACGUUGAUAGGCCGGGUGUGUAAGCGCAGCGAUGCGUUGAGCUAACCGGUACUAAUGAACCGUGAGGCUUAACCUUACAACGCCGAAGCUGUU